UGGGGAAUAUUGGACAAUGGGCGAAAGCUUGAUCCAGCCAUGCCGCAUGAGUGAAGAAGGCCUUUGGGUUGUAAAGCUCUUUUAGUGAGGAAGAUAAUGACGGUACUCACAGAAGAAGUCCUGGCUAACUCCGUGCCAGCAGCCGCGGUAAUACGGAGAGGGCUAGCGUGAUUCGGAAUUAUUGGGCGUAAAGGGCGCGUAGGCUGGUUAAUAAGUUAAAAGUGAAAUCCCGAGGCUUAACCUUGGAAUUGCUUUUAAAACUAUUAAUCUAGAGAUUGAAAGAGGAUAGAGGAAUUCCUGAUGUAGAGGUAAAAUUCGUAAAUAUUAGGAGGAACACCGGUGGCGAAGGCGUCUAUCUGGUUCAAAUCUGACGCUGAAGCGCGAAGGCGUGGGGAGCAAACA
RNAcentral lists this ribosomal RNA (402 nucleotides) under uncultured bacterium. Its description in RNAcentral is "partial 16S ribosomal RNA". It matches the Rfam family "Bacterial small subunit ribosomal RNA", at positions 355 to 774 of the family's 1533-position model. The record is from RNAcentral.